Molecule: long non-coding RNA, 1902 nt
Organism: Pomacea canaliculata
Lineage: Eukaryota; Metazoa; Mollusca; Gastropoda; Architaenioglossa; Ampullariidae
Exons: 2
Source: RefSeq, a predicted model, not a curated record
UAAUGUUCAACCCAUAUAUAAAGCGAAAAUCAUCUUUAAUCCGCUACUAAGCUAAUGCAGCCUUUUUGGAUCGUCGAAGUCUGAAGUCUUCUCAUCAACCUGCACCUGGUCUAACACAAGGCAUUCGCAACCUAGCCCAACUUUUUUCUAGUUUUAUUCUAUCUUGUUCGAGUUAUUAGAACAAAAAUGAAGGUCCUCCUCCUGUCAGUGCUUCUGAUAGUACUUCUCCACUGUCAUGGAGGCCUUUCAAUGAUGGGUGCACAGGGUGGAGAUGACGAAAAUCAACGAUACGCCAACUUGCACGAGCUGGUCAAGAAAAUUAGGGAUGAUCUACUGAAUCGAGGAAUCAUUGAGGGAAGAAUGCAGUUUGCCUUCUUGCUGCUAGGCGACGACACUUUGUUAAAUUCUGUCAGAUCUUUCAGCCCUAACCCUAGUCUCCUCUUUGCCAGACUUAACCGGAAUCGAAAUAGAUACAAUGAUUUAUUGGUAGCUAUACCAAAAGGACCGCGUCACGCUGAGAUCAUCCUUCUCAGUGAACUGUAUCCACUUUAUAAAGCUUACAUGAAAAAGCAUGAUCACAGCCCUGAGUUUAUUCUCCUGUACUCUAAUCGCAUGCCGUGUGAAAGCUGUACCACUGAAAUAAUAAAUUCAAAAAAUAGUCGUGGUGCACAAAUGCCUGGUGUGAAGUGGUUUGUUGGGUAUCCAUGUAGGAAACAGUACACGUGUGCCUGACAUUAAUGACCAGACAACUAAAGAGAAUGUUGCUCGCUUGAAGGCCAAUGGCAUCCGCGUAUUCAAAGUCAACUUUCUCGAGACGCCCUCACUGUUCAGCGAAAUAGAACAAAGGAAGAGAGAACACAUUCAGUAAACAAUCUUGAAGUCUCUCUUUUUGUCUAGUUAAAGUGUUUAACGACAGAAGAAGUAAAUAAAUGUUAUGCACUGAUUUUAACUUUCAUUGCGAUACACAAGUUUUAUUUUUUUCUUUUCGUACAUUUUCGGGAUGAAAAACGAGAUUUCACUCCCACCUCUUCCCCUAUUUCAUUUUUUUUCUUAUAUUGCCAAAAUGAAAUUGCUAUUGUCUGCCUCAAAACUUCAUGUGUUUUCAUACUUGAAUGACACACAAUGUUACUCCUACUGGUUUCUAAAUAGAAAACUGCUUUUCAUGGUUAUAGACACAAAUAAUGAACUAGUAAGUACUGCUAUUUAUGUGGCUAUAGACACAAAUCUUGAAAGACUGUUAACCUAACGGUUCUCGUUUUUUCAACCUACUUUUUUAUUUCAUUGCUAAUAAUUUCUUGAAUAAGUUUUUAAGUUGUUAAAUGUAUGCGUUGGUUGAAUCCCAUUUGUUCACGUCCAUGUGAUACUGCUUCACAAGCUCAUUGUCAGUGUUGUAUAAAAACCAAAGCUUUUUUAAAGGUCUACACACUGAGACAGUAGACAUGACUACACUGACAUCAUCUAGCCUACCCUUUGUCAGCGCAUUUUCGUUUCUUUGCUUUUUUAUUUUCUGCCAAUAGUACGUGCUUUAUUCAUCAAUGUAGUUUUCUUUUAUUGAGCAUUAUUUACGUAUUAUGUUAAACUCUUCCAGCUGCCUUGCUAGGUCUUGAAAUGUAUAUUCUAGCACUCUCUCUUUUGUGUAUUUUUAAUUUUUUUAUAUUUUUGUUGUAUGGAUAUAACCGCUUUGCUUCACAUUAUUUUAAAUUUUUUUGAAAAUUAUUUUUUUGUCAUGAAGGUGACAAGUAUUAGAUACGUUUACUGUGUAAUGAUUACAAUAGUAAUUACUAGUAAACAUGUUACGUGCUAUCAAGUUGUUGUGGAGACUGUUCAUCAACCAUCUAAUCUUUAGUUUCGCCAUGCUGAUUUAUGCAUCAAUAAUAAUAAUAAAAAGUUAUGCUGAUUUCA